Non-coding RNA from Smittium simulii, 74 nucleotides. The record is from the annotation of a GenBank genome assembly. NCBI's taxonomy places the organism in Eukaryota, Fungi, Kickxellomycota, Harpellomycetes, Harpellales, Legeriomycetaceae.
GCUUCUUUAGCUCAGUUGGUUAGAGCGUGGUGCUAAUAACGCCAAGGUCACAGGUUCGACCCCUGUAAGGAGCA